UGCGAGUCUAAAGGUUUCUUCGGAAACCUUGGCGAACUGCUCAGUAACACGUGGAUAACCUACCCUUGGGACUGGAAUAACCCCGGGAAACUGGGGAUAAUACCGGAUAGAUCAGGGAUGCUGGAAUGCACCUUGAUCCAAAGCUCCGGCGCCCAAGGAUGGGUCUGCGGCCUAUCAGGUAGUAGUGGGUGUAAUGUACCUACUAGCCAACGACGGGUUCGGGUUGUGAGAGCAAGAGCCCGGAGAUGGAUUCUGAGACACGAAUCCAGGCCCUACGGGGUGCAGCAGGCGCGAAACCUUUACAAUGUGCGAAAGCAAGAUAAGGGAACUCCGAGUGCCAGCAUCUAAUGUUGGCUGUCCUUGUGCCUAAAACGCACAAGAUAGCAAGGGCCGGGUAAGACCGGUGCCAGCCGCCGCGGUAACACCGGCGGCCCGAGUGGUAGCCGCUAUUAUUGGGUCUAAAGGGUCCGUAGCCGGUUCGAUAAGUCCUCUGGGAAAUCUGGUUGCUUAACAAUCAGACUGCCAAGGGAUACUGUCGAACUUGAGACCGGGAGAGGUAAGAGGUACUUCAGGGGUAGGAGUGAAAUCUUGUAAUCCCUGGGGGACCAUCUGUGGCGAAGGCGUCUUACCAGAACGGGUCUGACGGUGAGGGACGAAAGCUGGGGGCGCAAACCGGAUUAGAUACCCGGGUAGUCCCAGCCGUAAACGAUGCUCGCUAUGUGUCAGGUACGGUGUGACCGUAUCUGGUGCCGUAGGGAAGCCGUGAAGCGAGCCACCUGGGAAGUACGGCCGCGAGGCUGAACUUAAAGGAAUUGGCGGGGGAGCAC
This 827-nucleotide ribosomal RNA is filed under the name uncultured archaeon. Its description in RNAcentral is "bacterial SSU rRNA". It matches the Rfam family "Archaeal small subunit ribosomal RNA", at positions 52 to 879 of the family's 1478-position model. The record is from RNAcentral.